Molecule: ribosomal RNA, 906 nt
Filed under: Euglena pseudochadefaudii
Lineage: Eukaryota; Euglenozoa; Euglenophyceae; Euglenales; Euglenaceae
Description: LSU rRNA
Rfam family: Eukaryotic large subunit ribosomal RNA
Source: RNAcentral
AGCUGGCUGGUGCCAUGAGGUGACUUCUGCCCAGUGCUCUGAUUGUCAAUGCCAAGAGAUUGAGUCAAGCGCGGGUAAACGGCGGGAGUAACUAUGACUCUCUUAAGGUAGCCAAAUGCCUCGUCAACCAAUUAUUGACGCGCAUGAAUGGAUCAACGAGAUUCCUGCUGUCCCUAGUUGCUGUCUGGUGAACCAACAACCAAGGGAACGGGCUUGGAUGUGUCAGCGGGGAAAGAAGACCCUGUUGAGUUUGACUCUAGUUUGAUGCUGUGCAACAACAUGUUGGGUGUAGUCACAGGUGGGAGGCUCAAGCCACCCCGGCAUGGGCCAGCAGUGAAAUACCACUACCAUCACCGUUGUUUUACUCAUUGAGUGAUCUGGGAACGGUGGCCCACUGUGAAGUGCCUUGGCUCUGAGGGCUCUGUCCCCCACAUGCCAUGAUGGCCUUCACCGCUUCCUGUGACAAGUGCUUGGCACCCUUGUGGUGUCAGCAUGACCCUGGAGCCACAAUCCUGGAAACAGGCCUUGAGACAUUGAUCAGUUGGGGAGUUUGGCUGGGGCGGCACGCCCGUUACAAAACAACGCAGGCGUCCCAAAGCAUGGCUCAGAUGGAACAGAAAUCUCUCGGAGAGGAGAAGGCCAAAGUGCCCUGCUGAGGCUGCGAUCUUCAGUACAGAUCCAAAACAUGCAAGUGUGGCUUAGCGAUCCUUUGGUCAAUCUUCAGAGUUUCGGAUAUCAAAGCCAGAGGUGUCAGAAAAAUUACCACAGGGAUAACUGGCUUGUGGUCGCCAAGAGUUCAAAUCGACGUGACUUUUUGAUCCUUCGAUGUCGGCUCUUCCUAGCUUCCCACCCGCAGCUGAGUGGAAGAGUUGGAUUGUUCACCCACCGACAGGGAACGUGAGCUGG